This 940-nucleotide long non-coding RNA is filed under the name Phoenix dactylifera (date palm). RNAcentral's name for it is "long non-coding RNA (PDAC_LNC008891)". The record is from RNAcentral. Lineage: Eukaryota; Viridiplantae; Streptophyta; Magnoliopsida; Arecales; Arecaceae.
CCGAGACUCCAAAGCUGUCGGUGCCCUCUUUAAAUAUUUUGGUCCAUGAAAAAAAAUCGUGUUAUACUAUGUUAAGAAUUGAAGAUACGAGUUAACUACACAUGUCACUUAAGUUAACUUAUUUCUUCGAUACAUAGGGCCGUGACUUCUGAAUCUGGCUUCAUUUUGUAAAUCACAUUGCUCAGAGUAGCUAGAAGUUAGUCAUCCAUAUCCAUUCUAGCUACGGUAUACUAAAACCGAGGGUUAAGGUAGUAUGCUACAGAUAGAGUUUGUUAUUAUCUUAGUAAAAUUGUAUAAGUACAGAAGCAUACUAAUUUUUAAUGUUCUUGCUUACCUGCUAGAUGCAAGUCUUUACCCAUCUGGUAGUCUCACCGUCGCUCAAUGAUGUCGAUGUACUUAUGAGCACACGUUGGAUCUGCCUCCAUGAUCUGAAUUUUUGCCCUCUCCAUCAUGUGAUACAAGAAGUCCAUCUGGAGAUAUCUCUUACUAUCUACGGCCCAAAGCACUUCAUACAAUGGUCUGAUAGCCUUCACCAUCGUAGUGGUCUGCUGCCAGAAUGUCUGCCGCGUCACCAAAUCCUCGACACUACUCCCUUCAGUGUCGACCUUUGCAUGUAUACUUUUUUGUCACUCGAGACUGACAAACAUCCGACGUAGAGUUGCUUUCUUCUCAAAAAGGCUAUCAAGUGCAAUAUAGUUGGUAGCAUAUCGUGUGACUCCUAGUCUCAAGAUCUCUAUCUGCAUACCUCCUCAUCAGUGAAAGGACCUACGUAUAGUUAUUAAUAUGUCUAGUGAUGGUUUGGGCUGUCUCCAUUGUCUACUGUACUUUACGAAUCUUCAUAAUGUCCAUCAACAUGAGGUCGAUACAAUAUAUAGUACAUGAGGUCCAGAAAAUAUAUGGCUAUCGCUCCAUUAAGAUCUCUUCGCCAACUUUAUAUUGU